This 70-nucleotide transfer RNA is filed under the name Procavia capensis (Cape rock hyrax). Its description in RNAcentral is "tRNA-Gly (CCC) (tRNA-Gly-CCC-7-1)". It matches the Rfam family "tRNA". Rfam says of the family: Transfer RNA (tRNA) molecules are approximately 80 nucleotides in length. The record is from RNAcentral. Lineage: Eukaryota; Metazoa; Chordata; Mammalia; Hyracoidea; Procaviidae.
GCAUUGGUGGUUCAGUGGCAGAAUUCUCACCUCCCAUGUGAGACCCCAGGUUCGAUUCCUGGCCAGUUCA